This 244-nucleotide ribosomal RNA is filed under the name uncultured Streptococcus sp. RNAcentral describes it as "partial 16S ribosomal RNA". It matches the Rfam family "Bacterial small subunit ribosomal RNA", at positions 1141 to 1382 of the family's 1533-position model. The record is from RNAcentral. Lineage: Bacteria; Bacillati; Bacillota; Bacilli; Lactobacillales; Streptococcaceae.
UAGCGAGACUGCCGGUAAUAAACCGGAGGAAGGUGGGAUGACGUCAAAUCAUCAUGUCCCCUUAUGACCUGGGCUACACACGUGCUACAAUGGUUGGUACAACGAGUUGCGAGUCGGUGACGGCGAGCUAAUCUCUUAAAGACCAAUCUCAGUUCGGAUUGUAGGCUGCAACUCGCCUACAUGAAGUCGGAAUCGCUAGUAAUCGUGGAUCAGCAUGCCGCGGUCGAAUACGUUCCCGGGCCUU